This 806-nucleotide long non-coding RNA is filed under the name Mus spicilegus (steppe mouse). RNAcentral's name for it is "lncRNA (ENSMSIG00000003616.1)". The record is from RNAcentral. Lineage: Eukaryota; Metazoa; Chordata; Mammalia; Rodentia; Muridae.
CAAGAGACGCCGGCGUGGAGACCCGAUGGCUGCGGAGGCUGGCCCUUCCCUUCCUCAGCCGGCGCGCGAGUUAUACGUCACCGCCCGGGGGCACCUUUUAGGCGCCUGCAAAUGGCAAUAACGGAGGACGCGCUCCGUCCUCCGUUACGUGGGACGUCACGUGACCCUUCUGCGACGAGCUUAAGGAAGGAAGCCGCAGGAGGAGGCUCUCAGAGCAGAGAGAAAGAAAAGUUGUGUCAAGCAGGGAGCAGCCGAGGUUUCACUACAGCCUGGAGUGCCGCUGUGACAACCAUUUUGAACAGCUACACAGCUUUUCCCAUCUCUCCUGCUACAGCUAUGGCUCCACAGUGUAUGGAUAUGGGCCCAGUCCUCUAUGUGAGUCUGAGAAUCCUGAACCGAUAGCUGGACUAGAGGAUCUCCUCUCGGUGUUGAUACUAAGGAUGAGGAUGUAAGCUCAGCUGUCUUCUCACUUAAGGGCACCAAUGCCCUCAGACUGGGAUCCUGCCCUUUGAUUCCCUCCAACACUGAGACGUCCCUAGAGGCCCAGCUCCAAAGACUAUCAGAGUGAGUGCUAAGACUUCAGUAUAUGAAACUCCGGGAGGGACACAGCAUUCAGUCCCAGACAGCGUUACCAAGGAAUAGGAGCCCAUGGGAGGCAAAUUAUAGUCUUGGAUACAUUUAGACUUGCAAAAAUUAUAGAGGAGAGCCACAGGCAUCUUUAGUUAUAUUUGGUUCAAUGAGGAAAAAAUGCACUAGCAUUAAAAACAAAAAAAUAAAACCGUGACCUUGGCGCUUUGGGACUCCCA